AGAGUUUGAUCCUGGCUCAGAUUGAACGCUGGCGGCAGGCCUAACACAUGCAAGUCGAACGGUAACAUUUCUAGCUUGCUAGAAGAUGACGAGUGGCGGACGGGUGAGUAAUGCUUGGGAACUUGCCUUUGCGAGGGGGAUAACAGUUGGAAACGACUGCUAAUACCGCAUAAUGUCUUCGGACCAAACGGGGCUUCGGCUCCGGCGCAAAGAGAGGCCCAAGUGAGAUUAGCUAGUUGGUAAGGUAACGGCUUACCAAGGCGACGAUCUCUAGCUGUUCUGAGAGGAAGAUCAGCCACACUGGGACUGAGACACGGCCCAGACUCCUACGGGAGGCAGCAGUGGGGAAUAUUGCACAAUGGGGGAAACCCUGAUGCAGCCAUGCCGCGUGUGUGAAGAAGGCCUUCGGGUUAUAAAGCACUUUCAGUUGUGAGGAAAAGUUAGUAGUUAAUACCUGCUAGCCGUGACGUUAACAACAGAAGAAGCACCGGCUAACUCCGUGCCAGCAGCCGCGGUAAUACGGAGGGUGCGAGCGUUAAUCGGAAUUACUGGGCGUAAAGCGCACGCAGGCGGUUUGUUAAGCUAGAUGUGAAAGCCCCGGGCUCAACCUGGGAUGGUCAUUUAGAACUGGCAGACUAAAGUCUUGGAGAGGGGAGUGGAAUUCCAGGUGUAGCGGUGAAAUGCGUAGAUAUCUGGAGGAACAUCAGUGGCGAAAGCGACUCCCUGGCCAAAGACUGACGCUCAUGUGCGAAAGUGUGGGUAGCGAACAGGAUUAGAUACCCUGGUAGUCCACACCGUAAACGCUGUCUACUAGCUGUGUGUGCCUUUAAAGCGUGCGUA
RNAcentral lists this ribosomal RNA (840 nucleotides) under uncultured Alteromonas sp. Its description in RNAcentral is "bacterial SSU rRNA". It matches the Rfam family "Bacterial small subunit ribosomal RNA", at positions 8 to 845 of the family's 1533-position model. The record is from RNAcentral. Lineage: Bacteria; Pseudomonadati; Pseudomonadota; Gammaproteobacteria; Alteromonadales; Alteromonadaceae.